GGUUGUGGCUCAGCGGUAGAGUGUGUGCCUAGCAUGUAUGAGGCCCUGGGUUUGAUCCUCAGCACCA
RNAcentral lists this transfer RNA (67 nucleotides) under Marmota monax (woodchuck). RNAcentral's name for it is "tRNA.Ala". It matches the Rfam family "tRNA". From Rfam's summary of the family: Transfer RNA (tRNA) molecules are approximately 80 nucleotides in length. Their secondary structure includes four short double-helical elements and three loops (D, anti-codon, and T loops). Further hydrogen bonds mediate the characteristic L-shaped molecular structure. tRNAs have two regions of fundamental functional importance: the anti-codon, which is responsible for specific mRNA codon recognition, and the 3' end, to which the tRNAs corresponding amino acid is attached (by aminoacyl-tRNA synthetases). tRNAs cope with the degeneracy of the genetic code in two manners: having more than one tRNA (with a specific anti-codon) for a particular amino acid; and 'wobble' base-pairing, i.e. permitting non-standard base-pairing at the 3rd anti-codon position. The record is from RNAcentral. Lineage: Eukaryota; Metazoa; Chordata; Mammalia; Rodentia; Sciuridae.